AUGGCGGAGAGGGCGCUCCCGCCGCCCGUGCCCGAGCAGGCCUCCGCCGCCGCCGCCCAGCUCAGGGCGCCGCCGCACGAGACCUACGUCGUCAAGGUCCAGAAGGACCAGAUAUACCGCGUGCCGCCCCCCGAGAACGCCUACCUCGCCGAGCGGUACCGCGCGGAGCGCGCCGGCGGCGGCAAGAGCGGCGGCGGCUCGGCGUGCUCGACGCCCCUCCUGCUCACGCUCGGCCUGGCGGCCGCGGCGGUGCUGCUCCUGGGCGCCAGCGUCUGGCUCUCCGUCGUCGUGAUGCGGCCGGCCCCGCCGAGCUUCUCCGUGAACAGGCUCUCCGCGCGCAACGCGUCGGCGCAGCGCCACGCGGAGGUGGACUACGACUUCUUCCUCACGGCGAUCAACCCCAACAAGGUGACCGCGCUGUGGUACAAGGACGGGGGCACGGCCAGGCUGCUGCACCAGGGCACGGCCCUGGCCAAGGCCGCGGACGUGGGGACGCCCGAGGACGGCGGCGCGGACGCCAAGGACUUCAACGUGCUGCUGCGCGGCGGCGGCCACGCGACACCCAAGGCGGUGGAGAGGGCGCUCAGGGGGUCGAAGAAGGAGGCCGUGGCGCUGGAGCUCGCCGUGGAGUUCCCCGUGCAGGUGCACGUGGGCGCGCUCGCGUUCGCGGCCAAGAGGCUGGCCGUGGCGUGCGAGAUGAGAACGGCGGGGCUAGGGAAGCACGUGCACAUUUCGUCGCAGAAGUGCAGGAGCAGCUUCGGGAAGUGA
RNAcentral lists this ribosomal RNA (768 nucleotides) under Triticum aestivum (bread wheat). RNAcentral describes it as "partial small subunit ribosomal RNA". The record is from RNAcentral. Lineage: Eukaryota; Viridiplantae; Streptophyta; Magnoliopsida; Poales; Poaceae.